Non-coding RNA from Trichobilharzia regenti, 45 nucleotides. NCBI's taxonomy places the organism in Eukaryota, Metazoa, Platyhelminthes, Trematoda, Strigeidida, Schistosomatidae. The record is from Rfam.
AUCCAGAUGAAGAGUCCCGAAUAGGAUGAAAUCUGCAUCCUGGAU